AGGAUAAACGCUGGCGGCGUGCCUAACACAUGCAAGUCGAACGUCUCUUCUUUCGGGAAGAGGAGUGGCGGACGGGUGAGGAACACGUGGGAACCUGCCCUUUAGUGAGGAAUACCGGCGAGAAAUCGCCGACAAGACCGCAUAGCCCUCUUUGAUGAGAGUCAAAGAAGGAAAGCUUCGCAAGAGGCGCUAGAGGAGGGGCCUGCGUCCGAUUAGCUAGUUGGUGGGGUAAGAGCCUACCAAGGCGUCGAUCGGUAGCUGGUCUGAGAGGACGAUCAGCCACACUGGGAUUGAGAACGGCCCAGACUCCUACGGGGGCAGCAGUGAGGAAUUUUCGGCAAUGGGGGAAACCCUGACCGAGCAACGCCGCGUGCAGGAGACGGCCUUCGGUGUAACUGCUUUCUCGGGACGAGCAAGGACGGUACCGAGGAAGAAGCCCGGCUAACUACGUGCCAGCAGCCGC
This 463-nucleotide ribosomal RNA is filed under the name uncultured bacterium. RNAcentral describes it as "SSU rRNA". It matches the Rfam family "Bacterial small subunit ribosomal RNA", at positions 26 to 518 of the family's 1533-position model. The record is from RNAcentral.